Long non-coding RNA from Rattus norvegicus (Norway rat), 937 nucleotides. RefSeq lists it as uncharacterized. NCBI's taxonomy places the organism in Eukaryota, Metazoa, Chordata, Mammalia, Rodentia, Muridae. The record is from RefSeq and is a predicted model, not a curated record.
UCUCUUCCCUAGCAACCAUUACUGCCAAUAACCCCUCAGAAAGAGGAUGGGCCCUAGGAGCCCCAUCCAUGACGCAACACUGAUAGCCUGCAUGUGAUGACCACAGCUCUACUGGGCACAUGAAGAAAUCAAGUGCACUUCAGUACUGAGUGGGAUGCCACUGUGAGCGCCUUUUCUGAGGUGACCAAAGAAUGGUUUUGAUUAGAGACCAGAUCCCACUCUGUUGACUGGACUAGCCUCAAGUUCUUGGGUUCAGAUGAUCCUCCUGACUCAGUCUCCUGGAAACACGGACUAUAAAAUAAACUAUUGACAGGAUUUGAAGCAAUAAUUUAAAAACCACAACUUGAGAGUACCUGAAGAAUUGCACUCAGGUGUAAGACAUUCUUUACAUUCCACCAGGAUGGUGCAGCUGGGCGGAUCUUGUCCAUCGCUCUAGCUGAGAUGCCUCACACCUUGUCUUUUCAUAGUAAGCAAAAGCUCAAUGCUUACUGACGGUGAUAAGUGGUGUCAAGAAUCAUGGAAGAGUUGCUGUGAGGCUUAAGCCACCACUUGAAGGACCCUGCUUAAUAGAAGAGUUCAUGAAAAUUCAAGAUUAAGUGGAAGAAAAGUUCGAGGAGCUUUUCCACCUUGGUUGAGAGAAUAUGUGUAAAUGUGAGCUCUGACAUAAACAGAGAGCGGAAGAUGCUCUCCACUUUCCAAGGGACAUGACAACUUCAAUUAGAUAAAGCAAGCAUAUGAUGCUAUGAAUACUGCAGAUGGUGAUGUCCUGGGGAUACUGAGACAAAGGGAAAUCUGUCUAUCCAGAUAUCACUGCCUUAAAAAAAAAACCCAAGACAUUGUAAAGCUACGUAGAAGAAUUGCUGGUGAACUAUACUUACCCUUAGCCUCUUUGGGAGUGAAUUUAACAGUUAAGAGUAUAAAAUUAUUGAAAUGAAAA